UUGGUGUAAAGAUGGGUAGUCCACCUGUGUGGUGAGGUACAAAAUACUGAGUGUAUUGUACCUAGGGCAUGGCCCUAAAGGAAAGCCAGUUUGGAAACCCGAAAUGUCGAACCAGGACCAAGGUAUGCGGUCGACGACGGUUUCUCUAAGAUGUCGACGUCGCAGUUAGGAGCAGACAGAGAUGACAUAAAAUUGAGGUUCCCUUGCAUUUAUUGUCAGCUGUUUGUUACUUUCAUUGCGACGGUGAAGAGUGACGAGAGGAUCUCGGAAAUGAUGAGAGCGAUCUCUGAGUUGAUCUGUGUUUUGUGGUCUCCUGCUGACUCCAUGAAUGAUUGCGUAGACUAUGCCCAACAGAAGACAUCUCUGCUUCAUUCUAUGAUCAAUGGCUUUAUGGUUGAAUGUGGCACUGUGUGCGAUGGCGAAGGAGCGGAUGAACAGCUUGCUGUCCUGGGACGCAUGCUCCAGGAGGUGAAUCGGGCUUCCCAGGAAGUACCCACCACAGAAAAACCAGACAUAGCCAGCUUGGCAAUCAACUGAAUUUAUAAAUUGUCUUUCUUUGUUUUUAUUGCGUAUUAAGACUUCAAAAGAAGAAAGAAAAGUCGCAAAGGUUUUUACUAUGCGCUUACACAGUUUUGUUGGUGCCAAUCAUUAACUUCGGCCACAUACAGUAUUCUUUAAGUCUGUUUAAAGCGAGCAGAAUCUAAUAGCGUAUCCAGUGAAAGGCGGGAAACGUUACUAAGAAUUCAGAAAGGGUGUAACAUUUUUGGUUUUUUUAGAGAUGUAAAAGACGGCACCUGAUUUGCAUUUGAUUAAACGCUUCAAGCUUUCGUAGUGUUAAAACAUCGCUGUGAUAUUUGUAAUACACGUAUAUGUAUCUAUUGAAGCUAUUCACUGACACGGUCACAGCUUACUGGAAUGCAUCUGUCGAGGAGAACCAGAUUUCCCAAACUUACCAGAGAGCUGAAUUUAUAAAUUGCCUUUUUUCAAGUCACAGUGGUUGGUAGCAUGCCCUCGUAUAAUUAUGUUUGUUCCAAUCAUAUUAGUUUCGGUUUUUAAAGCAUUAACUUUCUUCAAGUCCUUUUGAAGUGAUCGAAAUGCAGUGGCGUUUCCUGACGAAGACCCGGAAAAGUUGCCGAGGCUUUAAAAGGGAUACUAUCACUUUCCUUUCAGGGAUGUACUGAUUCUGUUAUGGAUGAAAAGUCGGCAAUUCUUUCAAGAACCGUGCAUUCCCCGACUUGAACCCUGGAUACCCCUCUGCCCUUGUAUAUAUCUACCAUAUUGUUUCAACAACUCUCAACUUUAUUUUAACUGAGACAUGCAAACCACACGAUUUGAAAGUAAUCCUUUUUUAUAUACAUAUAAAAACAAAAAUGUAUCAAGUUCAAACAGCUACUGCAAAUUUAAUUGAGGUAAAUCCGCGACAUGAACAUUUUAUUCAGGGUAGGCACUUGACUCGCGUUUGUUAAUUUACUACCGGUACUUCUAGCUUUCACAUUAUUAAAAACACCGCUAAGCAAAUAAUAUGUUUUUCAGUAUUUGUCUUUUGAAGCUAUAUUAUUCUGACAAAGGAAGCCAAGACGUUCUGUUAAGUGCGACUACAGCUAUUAAGUCGCAGGAAUCAGUCAGGCAGCGAGACUUCUUGGAAAGGGGUUUAAAAAAAACUUUGCCAGGUUUGUUCUGUGUUCCCCUAACCGAAGGAGCAAGGGUAUAGAUCCUGAAUGUCACGGGAUCCUGUACUUGGACAGACGACACAUAAUUGUGGUGUGGUCUGUGGAAACCUUUCACAUAGUGAGCUAUGUCAUUUUGGUGCAUCGACUUCAAAUUAACCUGCACACUGUCCUGUUUUCAGAACCGUUUAAUUCGUAAUUCUAGACAACCCAAUCGCUAAGAUUCAUAUUGUAGACAACCAAGAAUCAUAAAUUUAAUAUAGGCCUAUCUAAAAAAUCGAGUGUGUCCAGGUUUAUUUGAAGUAUAUAUGCACCCAAACGACAAAGCUCACCAUGUGAAUCACAUCACAAUUUUCAGACGGGGUGGUCAUUUAUUCUAGAACAACUUCUUUUACAACUUGAAUCAAACUUUAAAGGAGGCUGCUAUAUACCACAUUGCUAGGCAGUAGCUCCUAUCAUCACCGACAUCUCCCACCUUGUUUUUCAAACCGAAAACAAUGAGUAUACGCUGUAAUCUUGUUUUACAGUUUGCGUAAAAGCGAAAAAAUUCAGUCAAUCGGUUCAUUUAAAGACUUGACUUGGAAGCUUUCAUAUCUACUAAUUUCUGUGAUAAAAUGCUUAUCGUAUUCAAUAAAAAUGGCUGUAAACCAGGAA
RNAcentral lists this unclassified non-coding RNA (2321 nucleotides) under Acanthaster planci (crown-of-thorns starfish). Its description in RNAcentral is "uncharacterized LOC110976191, transcript variant X2". The record is from RNAcentral. Lineage: Eukaryota; Metazoa; Echinodermata; Asteroidea; Valvatida; Acanthasteridae.